Molecule: long non-coding RNA, 2481 nt
Organism: Sparus aurata (gilthead seabream)
Lineage: Eukaryota; Metazoa; Chordata; Actinopteri; Spariformes; Sparidae
Source: Ensembl
AUGCCUCAACUGUACCAGUGCCCAAAGUGCACUCGAAGGACGCGUACUCUGAUGAAGUUCAUCCAACAUGUUGGACUUGUUCAUGCACAUGAGCCAAAUUUCAGUAUCACCUGUGGUGUAGGUGAUUGUCAGUCAACUUUUUCUAGAUUCCAUUCUUUCAGAAAACACGUGUAUAGGAAGCACAGAUGCUUUGUAUUUAGGCCUUACGAUAAAAAUGACAGAACCAGUGAAGACUCCACAGUACACCAACACAGCAUGAACCCGGAUCAGCAAAAUUCAGAGACUGAUCUAAGUGCUUCUCAUCUGCAAACAGUUAAUCCAAAUUUAGAUAAACUAUUACAGGAUUUCAGAGAUAACCUGUUUGCCUUUGUUCUUAAAUGCAGAGAGAAAAACCUUCUACAUUUGUCAGUCCAACAAGACAUUACUGAUGAUGUCAAAUUUCUCUUUUGCUUUUUCAAAGAAAACUAUGAUUCGUUUAUUUCUUAUCAUCUUGGAAAAAGUGGUUUUGACAUUUCAAAGUGCCCUGAACUGCAGCAAGUUUUGCACUCGUCUGAUUUCUUUGAUAAAGCUUAUGAGGUGGUUCGCUCUCCACACAUGAUUAAAGAGCACUGCAAGGCCAAGAUGGACUUUACAGAACCUGUACACUACACACUUAAGGGUUUUUCAGGGUACCAAAAAGGAACCUAUUCCUACGUUCCCAUCUCUGAAGUUUUGAAGAAAUACUGUUCUCAUGAAGAUGUAUGGGAUCAAAUACUGUCUGAAAACAACAAGGUCAAAGAUGAAGAGCUUCUUACUGACUAUGGAGAUGGUCUUUAUUUUAAGGAACAUUUGUUUUUCAGAGAACAUCCAGAUGCUUUAAGACUUCAUUUAUAUGAAGAUGAAUUUGAAAUCGUUAACCCUUUAGGCUCCAAGAGAACUAAGCAUAAGUUGUGUGCAUUUUACUACACGGUUGGAAAUUUGAGUGGAAAGUAUCGAUCUCAGCUUAAGCACAUUCACUUAGCUCUGCUGGUUCGUUACUCACAUGUGAAACAAUUUGGCAUAGACAUGAUAUUAAAACCAAUGAUAGAGGACCUGCAACAGCUUUCAACUGAAGGCGUCAUUAUAAAUGUAUGUGGAACAGAGCACAAAGUUUAUGCUGCUUUAGCCACUUUUUCAGGUGACAAUUUGUCAGCUCAUAUGAUUGGUGGCUUCCGCAUGUGUUUUCAAUCUGGCCGAAUCUGUCGUUACUGUAUGGCAACACACUCAGAAAUUAAACACAAAUUCCAGGAAGAUGGUUUUGUUCUGAGAACAGCUGAAAUUCAUGACUAUCAUCUCCAGUGUGUCCAGCAAAACAAGGAAAAUUCUGCUUUGUAUGGUGUACGGUGCACUAGUCCUUUUAAUGCACUAGGUUAUUUUGAUGUGACCAAGUCUUUGCCCCCAGACGUCAUGCAUGAUAUGCUGGAGGGAGUUCUUCCACUGACAAUGAAGCAUGUCAUUUGCCAAGCACAUAGACAAAAGCAUAUAACUAUAGCUGAGCUAAAUGAGGAGCUCCAAAAAUUCUGUAUAGGUCAGAAUGACAAAGCCAAUAAGCCUGUGCUGUUGUCUGAAAGACUUCUCAAAACUUCAGGAAUCGUAGGAACAGCUACUCAAAAAUGGUGUCUUUUCAGAUUGUUACCUUUUUUAAUGGGGCACCGUAUUCCUCCUGGCAGCAAAUAUUGGCAUGUGUUCUUAGUGUGUAGAGAGAUUGCAGAUAUUGUCAUGGCACCCAAAGUGAGGAAAGAUGAACUAGCAUAUCUGGAAAUACUUGUACACGCAUUCCUUUCUGAGAUGACAGAGGUCUUUGGAAAUGUUUUAACACCUAAAUGUCAUUAUCUUGUACAUUAUCCAAGACUAAUGUGUAUGUAUGGUCCUCUUCGUUCUCUUUGGUGUAUGCAAUUUGAGGGCAAACAUCAAUAUUUCAAGAAUCUGGCUAAUAACUGUCGAAAUUUUAGAAAUGUAACAGUGACACUGAGCAAUCGUCACCAGCUCAAACAAUGUUGGGAAUUUUUACCUAUCAAUAUCUUGGGUGAUUUUGAAAAGGUGCCUGGUAGAAGUGUCAGCACACCAUUAUUGUCUCUACCCAUUGACCUUCAGACUGCCAUAAAAGCAAGUGGCAAUUUCAAAGGUGUAGAAUUAGAGGGCAAAGUAAUUCAACGUGUCUCUGAGGUGACUGUAGACAACAUCAAGUAUGCUGUUAGAGAUGUGUUGACAAUAGAUCUUUUACAUGUUGAAAAAAUUCCGGUGUUUGGGCAGAUCAAAUACAUUCUUAACAUUGAUACCAUGUUGGUGCUCUGCAGUAAAAUGUUGCUUCCAUUGUCCUUUGACACGCAUUUUCACGCAUAUCGUGUAAAAGUAGACAGUGACUGGAUUUUGCUCAAACCCAGAGAUGAGUUGGACCACAUGUCACUUGACACAUAUACAGUUGAUGAUAAUUUGUAUGUCGGAUUGAGGCAUUUAGUAUGA